Molecule: long non-coding RNA, 1484 nt
Organism: Cynoglossus semilaevis (tongue sole)
Lineage: Eukaryota; Metazoa; Chordata; Actinopteri; Pleuronectiformes; Cynoglossidae
Exons: 3
Source: RefSeq, a predicted model, not a curated record
GGAGGAGCUGUGCGAAGAGACAAAAAUAACAGAAGAACUGGUUAGAUUUUUUUUUUUAAUGAUAAAUAAAUAAAUGGACGUGGCCGUGGGGACGUCACGACGCGUCGCCGCCACCAAGCUCGUGAACGCGCCCAUUGGGCUCCCAGCAUGCUGCACAUCCGGAGGCACGCUCAGCACCAGGAGCUGAACCAAGCCUGGAGUGAGCUUCCUGCUGCACCAGAGGAGGAAACAAUGCAGCUCCACAGGAAACACCGCAGACGACGAAAAAAAGACCUUCAUCCAACUUCACCAGGUUUCCUGUUGAGACUUCAUCACCUGACAUUUGGAUUAUGACUGUCACCACCAACUUCUGUUUGUGAUACUGGAGGAUGAUGUCAUUAUCUCACCACAGUGGACAAACUUAAAAAUGUCUUGGUUUUCUCAUGGACAGCAAUGACAAACUGGCACAGAACAGUAUCUUCUCCAGGAGAAAUGGAGAGAGAAAGAUGGAGGAGAGUAGGAUUCUCUGAAGAUGUUCCUGUACCAAACUACUUUACACAGCUGUGCAGAAAAACAAUAUGUUGCUUCUAAUACACACACACACACACACACACACUACUUGAAGUUAUUAAAAACUAGGAUGAAAAAUUAUAAAGAAAAUUAUUUCAAUUAUUGUUUUUUUUGACUAGUUAGGGUAAUUAGUUAAAAUGUUUAGAGAAUUUAAAAUGUUAGUUUUCUACCUUUUAUAUUUAUUUAGCCUAGAAUUUAUUCAAUGCUUUUAUUACUAUGUACUGUGUAUUUCCCUCAUGUGAACUUUGUAUUUUAAUCAUGUUGUUGACAAUCUGUGACUGGAUUACUUGAAAUAUGGAAUAUCUUUUCAGGAAAAACAAAUCAACUAGUUACUGUCCAGUAGUUAAGUUAGUAGUCAAUUAAUUCCUCAUCAUUAAUGUCAUUUGUUCAAAUAGAUGUUGUUGAUUAAAACAGAUACAGUUUGUAGUUAAUGUUUAUACUUGAUCUAUGCAAAUAUGUCUCAGUGGUGCUAAGGUUUGCACUAUUUGUAUGUAGCAUUUGCUGUCGUUUGCACAUGUGAAUAAACGGGUUUGUAGAAGAAGUGUUAUGUUGUUUUACUAACACGCACUACAUUAUAUGAGCAGAGGUGCAAUGUGUUGGAGGACGUGUUAGAGAAAAUGUGUGUUUUCAUUGUAUUGACAUCUAUGUAUUUGAUGUUAAAUUUUGCCUUUUCUGUGAUUUAAUCACAAUUUCCCAUUUUGUUUAUGAAUUCAUUUCCCUGACAAUGGACACCAUCACAUACACCACAGGAAAUGCAUUUGAUCAAUGUGGAGAAAUGGAAAACACAAUUCACUAAGUGAAUAAUCGCAUUAUUUUGCACAGUGUGAUGGACUGUCUCAGGAGUUGUUACAAAUGUGUGAUUUGCACAAGUUACUGUGUCUGUACUAUGCAACUGUUUGCAGUGAAAAUAAUCAAUAAAAGCAUUGUUUACAUGA